Molecule: non-coding RNA, 1422 nt
Organism: Paramuricea clavata
Lineage: Eukaryota; Metazoa; Cnidaria; Anthozoa; Malacalcyonacea; Plexauridae
Source: the annotation of a GenBank genome assembly
CCAGUGCUGUCAUGAUUUCUUUUCUACGCGGAGAACCGCUAGCCAAUAUUAUGUUCUUCUUAUUAAGUGUUUCUAAAAUCGGCUGCAACAUUUUCGCUGAAAUUCCUAAAAGCUAAAAUAAUACACUUCGAUCUCUGCACUUCGAUAGAAUAUUCCAACCUCGUACCCAGGGCUUCUGCGCUUAUUGCUCUCAGAAGCCCUGGGAUAAUCCAACUCAGAACGUGAUUUGAUUGGUCAAUGCGAAUACAAUGAAAGUACCGGAAGUUAUUCAUUAACCGGGUGAUAUUUUGGCAACAUGUCUGCUAUCACAAGGAGUGUAUACAAAAGUUAAAUGCUGGUUUUUGCAUGAAAAUACUUUUUUGAACCAAAUUCUGGGCUAUUUUGAAAAGAGCAAAAGAAGAAAUGGACUAUUUGUAUUUGUAAAUAAGCAAGAAUGGCGAACAAAGUAAAAAAUUUAAUUAACAUAAUAAAGCGAAACAUUUCUCGUUCGAAAAUUGAAAUUUCAAGUAUAAAUCUACAAUCUUCAACCACGAUAUUCAAUGUAAAUAUUACAUAAUAAAGUUUUUAAUACCUUUUUUACCUUUAUUUGAUAAAUUGUGUGUUCUAUAUUUAUUGCAUUUUGUAUUGGAAUAGGAUAAAUUAUGAAUUAUACACAAAUAUUUAAAUUUACAAAUUAUUCCCAAUUUGAGGAUGCUGGGUGCACUGGCUCAGAGUUUGUAUUAGUGCCUAUUUAUUAUCGAGUUAUUAGUGCCUCUAAGUCUCUAAUGUACAAACAUUGUAAUCUGUUACUUAAUACCAUAAAGAAACUGUUGAUAGCACAUAUAUUAAAUGACUAUUAAUCAAAAUGAACUAAAUUUUCGACCAUUAUAUAGCAUAUUUCCCCCAAUAUUGAGGGAAUAAUUUCUCAUAUUUAUUUUUAUAAUAAGCCAAUAUUGCCCAACUGUGAAGUAAAUAUUGCCCGACUGGCCUAGUCUGCCCAACAAUUGAGCCCAGCCCUGUAUGCCUAUGACCAGGCCUACAGGUGGACCCCCAACCUGAUUGGUCACAAUUUUUCUUUCUCCAAAAUUUCCCCUCCCCAUGUACAAAAUUGACAAUUUGACAGUUUGAUUAGAUUUGAAAAAAAAACACCUAAUACAUUUACUAUUAUCAGAAACAAUUUUCCCCCCUCCCCCUCUGAAUGGCAGAAAUUUCCCCUGUGGGGAGAGUGUGGAUAUUUUCUGGAACGACCGAUUUGAGGAAUGCUUUUGCACAAAUUUUAAAUUUUCUUACAAUUUUCUUGUAUGUCAGAACACUGUUCUAAGUUGCAACUAAAAUUCAGAGGUCUAAAAGGCUCAAGUCAAUUCCAGUGGUGUAACCAGAGGAGGUGGGGGGUCAAAAUAUUUUAAAUGUUCUGAACUUGUUUGUAAUUAAUUAGAGUUGAAC